This is a microRNA precursor of Sorghum bicolor (sorghum), 144 nucleotides long. Lineage: Eukaryota; Viridiplantae; Streptophyta; Magnoliopsida; Poales; Poaceae. The record is from Rfam.
GAGAGAGUGCGAUGUUGGCAUGGUUCAAUCAAAUCAUCGCCCGGCAAGGUGACUUAAAUUUUGCGCUUUCGAUCGAUCGAGGUGCAGGGAGGUGUUUCCAGGCACCGUGUUUGAUUGAGCCGUGCCAAUAUCACAACCUUCUCU